GAACUGAGGAUUGGGGUUCUCUAUUUCCCUUUCUCUUCCAGCGUCCUUCUUCCUUCUUUCUUCUUUGUCAGAGGCGCUCAGAUUAUUUGCUUCUUCUUUUGUUGUCAUUUUUCUUCUUUCUCUAUCUUUUACUUCCUCAUCUCUCCUCCAGUCGCUCUCACCCUCAAAAACCAGAUCGAAAAACAUACCAAACACCAAACAACCAAAUCUGAAUCGUACCUUCGCCAUCCGUUUCGUCAUCCUUCUCUCUCAGCCUCUCACAUCCUGUUUCAUUUCCUAUGAAACCAAUCUUGGCCCAAAAUCCGUAAUACCCAAAUCAAAAAACCUAACACCUCAGCCCCAAAUACCUCCUCCAAUCACACGUGCUCUCUCGACUUCUUGCUUAGCAAUCAGUUGCUUGUCACACUCGAUUUCUGUUUAGCAAUCGAAAUCUUGUCGCUCGUUAGUAAAGCUUUGAAGAUAAGUUAUAGGUUUCUGGUAGUGAUUUGGCUUGAAAUCUGGUAGUGAUUUCAAUUUGCAGCAGUCAAUUUGAAGGUAUUGGAGUUCGAUUCGCAGCAGGCCAUUUGAAGGUAUUGGAGUUCGAUUCGCAGCAGGCCAUUUGAAGGUCGUGUUUCAAACUGCACCAGGUCGAGAGUAAGGUUGAUGAAUUAUUGGGAUAGGUACUUGUUUCAUCGUGGUGAUAAUAAGAUAGAGUGCUUUGGCAUUUGCUGGUCUUUCAAUGCCACAGUCAAUGCAGAGAUAAGUGAUGACUUUUUUCGAAUCACCACGUGGAUCCAAAUUGCAGUAAGGUGUAAUGUUAAAGUGCUUCACCUUGAAUUCACUCAAAACAACUUGAAUAUAGUUGUGUUACCAUCUUGCAUCUUUCUGUCUUUCAUUGCCAUUCUUUGACGGAACUCUAUGUGAACUUGGGUGGGGGUGAUAUUCAAUCACCCUCCUUGUCUUUUUUAAGUAAUCUCCAGCACUUGGAGUUGAAGGAUGCUAUGGUUGAAGAUGACCGGUUUUUCAAAUGGAUAUCAUCUUCCUGCAAAUGCAUCAAGGAAUUAUGUCUUGAAAAUGUUAGUGGAAUAAAAAAUAUCACUAAUGAGAGCUCGUCUUUGGAAAGAUUUAGUUAUGUGUUUCUUUUUGACAAUUAUGAGCUCUGGGAUCUUAACAUUUCAGGGGAGAAACUUGAAGAAAUAUGUAUACGCUGGGAAUUUGAUUCAAGUGAUGAUUCAAGAUGUGGAAUUUAUUGUACUCUGCGUUGGUCAAUUUAAUGCUAUCUUUUACCGAGAA
This is a long non-coding RNA of Rosa rugosa (rugosa rose), 1272 nucleotides long. RefSeq lists it as uncharacterized. The record is from RefSeq and is a predicted model, not a curated record. NCBI's taxonomy places the organism in Eukaryota, Viridiplantae, Streptophyta, Magnoliopsida, Rosales, Rosaceae. The transcript is spliced from 3 exons.